GCCUAUGGCCAUAACACUCUGAACACACCGGAUCUCGUCUGAUCUUGGAAGCUAAGCAGGGUNGGGCCUGGUUAGUACUUGGAUGGGAGACCACNUGGGAAUACUGGGUGCUGUAGGCU
Molecule: ribosomal RNA, 119 nt
Filed under: Salvator merianae (Argentine black and white tegu)
Lineage: Eukaryota; Metazoa; Chordata; Lepidosauria; Squamata; Teiidae
Source: RNAcentral